RNAcentral lists this transfer RNA (63 nucleotides) under Ictidomys tridecemlineatus (thirteen-lined ground squirrel). RNAcentral's name for it is "Spermophilus tridecemlineatus (thirteen-lined ground squirrel) tRNA". It matches the Rfam family "tRNA". Rfam says of the family: Transfer RNA (tRNA) molecules are approximately 80 nucleotides in length. The record is from Rfam by way of RNAcentral. Lineage: Eukaryota; Metazoa; Chordata; Mammalia; Rodentia; Sciuridae. RNAcentral also lists the same sequence under 1 other name.
GGAGUUGUGGCUCAGUGAGAGAGCACUUGCCUUGCAUGCAUGAGGGUUCGAUCGUCAGCACCA